RNAcentral lists this ribosomal RNA (493 nucleotides) under uncultured bacterium. RNAcentral describes it as "partial 16S ribosomal RNA". It matches the Rfam family "Bacterial small subunit ribosomal RNA", at positions 28 to 507 of the family's 1533-position model. The record is from RNAcentral.
GACGAACGCUGGCGGCGUGCUUAACACAUGCAAGUCGAACGGUGAAGCACCUUCCUUUUGGUGGGUGUGGAUGAGUGGCGAACGGGUGAGUAACACGUGAGUAACCUGCCCCCUUCUUCUGGAUAACCGCAUGAAAGUGUGGCUAAUACGGGAUAUUCUGGGUCUGUCGCAUGGCGGGCCUGGGAAAGAUAUUGUUUCGGUGGGGGAUGGGCUCGCGGUCUAUCAGCUUGUUGGUGGGGUGAUGGCCUACCAAGGCGGUGACGGGUAGCCGGCCUGAGAGGGUGGACGGUCACACUGGGACUGAGACACGGCCCAGACUCCUACGGGAGGCAGCAGUGGGGAAUAUUGCACAAUGGGCGCAAGCCUGAUGCAGCGACGCCGCGUGAGGGAUGGAGGCCUUCGGGUUGUAAACCUCUUUCGCCAGUGAAGCAGGCCUGUCCCUUUUGUGGGUGGGCUGACGGUAGCUGGAUAAGAAGCGCCGGCUAACUACGUG